AAGUCGUAACAAGGUUUCCGUAGGUGAACCUGCGGAAGGAUCAUUAACACGUGAUUUUUCACGUACAAACCAACCGUGAACUGUUGUUUAUGUUUAUUUACCCUGUAUUAUUUGGUCUAAUUCUUUUUGGCAUUCGACGAUCUCCUGGGCAACCGGUCGAGGACGUCUUGAGUGUCGAAUCAUACAAAAUUCGAAACAACUCUUAGCAACGGAUAUCUUGGUUCUCGUAACGAUGAAGAACGUAGC
This 246-nucleotide unclassified non-coding RNA is filed under the name fungal sp. RNAcentral describes it as "partial internal transcribed spacer region". The stretch from base 1 to 46 matches the Rfam family "Eukaryotic small subunit ribosomal RNA", at positions 1786 to 1831 of the family's 1831-position model. Lineage: Eukaryota; Fungi. The record is from RNAcentral.